GGGUGUCGCGGGGGUGGUCCCGCGACAGGAUCGUUUGGUUGGUCGGGCCGCCAGCC
Molecule: non-coding RNA, 56 nt
Filed under: unclassified sequences
Description: Li+-I sequence
Rfam family: nhaA-I RNA
About the family: Acidobacteria, Alphaproteobacteria, Betaproteobacteria and Gammaproteobacteria, Verrucomicrobia, cand. division NC10. Downstream gene
Source: Rfam by way of RNAcentral